This is a long non-coding RNA of Rhinopithecus roxellana (golden snub-nosed monkey), 629 nucleotides long. RefSeq lists it as uncharacterized. The record is from RefSeq and is a predicted model, not a curated record. NCBI's taxonomy places the organism in Eukaryota, Metazoa, Chordata, Mammalia, Primates, Cercopithecidae. The transcript has 3 exons.
UCUCAUUGUACCACUGCAAACAGAAGCUGCAUCCCUGCAUGGGAAGCAUUAGGUCGCCUCCCAGGCAGGAGCAAACAUUUAGUGGGAAGGACUAGGAGGCUGGCUGCUUGCUCUUCUCUUUCAGAAGUGACAUCUCCACCCUGCUUGUCCCACGUCUCCAGAAAGGUGGUUCCAGGACUCCCAGAGGCCCAUGGACUGGAGCUGUUAAUGUCCUGCAGAUGGGAGCCACUCUCUCACUGUGAUCACCAAGGUACCCAGGGCCUCCGGAGGCCACAAAGAAUGGGUGCCCUGGAAACGAACACCGGCAUGAUUUUGAAUGUGCACACGCCAGGGCUCACAACUGCAGGGGCUUCUGGGGCAACCAGCCCAGGUCUUUUGGGUUCCUUUUCUCUCCUUCUGCUAAACACACGAAGAGGGGCUGGAAGCAUACAGGGUGGGUUUUGGGUGUGUGUGGUGAUUUUGUGGGGUGACCACUUUUAAAGACCUUUCUGCUCCUGUAGGAAAAGCUGACAAAGAGAAUGUGGUUGUCAGUCGUUUUUCAGAGAUCAAUGUUCCCUCACGCGGCAGGGGCCAAUCCACACCCAUAUUUUUAAUGGUCUGACCCAAUGUAAAUCUCCCAGUUACAAAGA